GAUCCUGGCUCAGAUUGAACGCUGGCGGCAGGCCUAACACAUGCAAGUCGAACGGUAACAGGAAGCAGCUUGCUGCUUCGUCUGACGAGUGGCGGACGGGUGAGUAAUGUCUGGGAAACUGCCUGAUGGAGGGGGAUAACUACUGGAAACGGUAGCUCAUACCGCAUAACGUCGCAAGACCAAAGAGGGGGACCUUCGGGCCUCUUGCCAAUCGGAUGUGCCCAGAUGGGAUUUAG
RNAcentral lists this ribosomal RNA (236 nucleotides) under uncultured bacterium. RNAcentral describes it as "partial 16S ribosomal RNA". It matches the Rfam family "Bacterial small subunit ribosomal RNA", at positions 15 to 245 of the family's 1533-position model. The record is from RNAcentral.